AAAAAGGGGCCAGAGAAAUACCAUGAUCAUGAAGGUAGUUUUUCCAGGGCAAGGUUUAUCUAUUGCAUUCCAGAUUGCUGACACCUUCGAUUUCCCCAAAUGUGGGAAAGAAACUUGAUUGCAUAAUUUAUGGUGGUUGGAGACUGCAUUUUUGUCUUCCUU
RNAcentral lists this small nuclear RNA (162 nucleotides) under Microcebus murinus (gray mouse lemur). RNAcentral's name for it is "U1 spliceosomal RNA (ENSMICG00000027247.2)". It matches the Rfam family "U1 spliceosomal RNA". From Rfam's summary of the family: U1 is a small nuclear RNA (snRNA) component of the spliceosome (involved in pre-mRNA splicing). The record is from RNAcentral. Lineage: Eukaryota; Metazoa; Chordata; Mammalia; Primates; Cheirogaleidae.